Micropterus salmoides (largemouth bass) is the source of this 636-nucleotide non-coding RNA. The record is from the annotation of a RefSeq genome assembly. NCBI's taxonomy places the organism in Eukaryota, Metazoa, Chordata, Actinopteri, Centrarchiformes, Centrarchidae.
AGGGGAGGCUUUGCAUCGUCAGCUGAUCCUCCAGUGAACUGAGAAGGUUUAUAGUUCUGUGAGUUCAACACUGCAGGACUCAGAUCUGUCAGUCAACACAGCAGAAACCACAACCACCAUGACUCUCAUCACCAUCUUCAUCGGGACGCUGGCCUGCUGCUGUUUUACAGGAUCAAGUAGUGAAGUGACUGUAACUCAACCUGCUGUAGUCACAUCUUCUCCUGGAUCUACAGUCACUCUGACCUGUAAAACCAACCCAAAAGUUGAUGUUUGGUCGGAUGGAGAUAGUAGAGUACACUGGUAUCAGCAGAAAUCUGGAGAAGCUCCCAAAUUGGUCAUUAUUUUGGGUCAAAAUGCUACAAGUGAGUUUUCUUCUCGAUUCUCUGGCAGAGGAGAUGGAGUGAACGCUGAGAUGACCAUCAGUGGAGUUCAGUCUAAAGAUGCAGCAGAUUAUUAUUGUAAAGGUGUUCACAAAAUAAACAACGCUUGGGUGUUCACACUGUGAUUUGUAGUCGUACAAAAACCUCCCUCAGUCAGACUGCAGAGACUCUGAGCUGUUACAGCAGGAACCGACUGCAGCUGCUGAAGAGGAAGAGACACUCUGACACAGACCACUGAACACAGAGCUGACAGUAA